Molecule: ribosomal RNA, 253 nt
Filed under: uncultured bacterium
Lineage: Bacteria
Description: partial 16S ribosomal RNA
Rfam family: Bacterial small subunit ribosomal RNA
Source: RNAcentral
UACGGGGGGGGCAAGCGUUGUUCGGAAUUACUGGGCGUAAAGGGCUCGUAGGCGGCCAACUAAGUCAUACGUGAAAUCCCUCGGCUUAACCGGGGAACUGCGUCUGAUACUGGAUGGCUUGAGUUCGGGAGAGGGAUGCGGAAUUCCAGGUGUAGCGGUGAAAUGCGUAGAUAUCUGGAGGAACACCGGUGGCGAAGGCGGCAUCCUGGACCAUGACUGACGCUGAGGAGCGAAAGCCAGGGGAGCAAACGGG